UCAAGUAAACCCCUACACCAA
Molecule: non-coding RNA, 21 nt
Filed under: Arabidopsis thaliana (thale cress)
Lineage: Eukaryota; Viridiplantae; Streptophyta; Magnoliopsida; Brassicales; Brassicaceae
Source: RNAcentral